RNAcentral lists this ribosomal RNA (365 nucleotides) under uncultured organism. RNAcentral's name for it is "bacterial LSU rRNA". It matches the Rfam family "Bacterial large subunit ribosomal RNA", at positions 2099 to 2465 of the family's 2925-position model. The record is from RNAcentral.
CUUUACUGCAACUUGACGUUGGAACUUGGCUGUAUUUGUGUAGGAUAGGUGGGAGACUUGAAGCAGGGCCGCCAGGUCUUGCGGAGUCGUCGUUGAAAUACCACCCUGGUGCUGACGAGUUUCUAACCGUGUCCGUAAGCCGGACAUGAGACAGCGUCUGGUGGGCAGUUUGACUGGGGCGGUCGCCUCCUAAAAGGUAACGGAGGCAUUCAAAGGUCCCCUCAGCGUGGUCGGUAAUCACGCGCAGAGUGCAAACGCAUAAGGGGGCUUAACUGCGAGACCGACAGGUCGAGCAGGUACGAAAGUAGGAGUUAGUGAUCCCGCGGUUUAGCGUGGAAUUGCCGUUGCUCAAUGGAUAAAAGGUA